Molecule: ribosomal RNA, 465 nt
Filed under: Vreelandella stevensii
Lineage: Bacteria; Pseudomonadati; Pseudomonadota; Gammaproteobacteria; Oceanospirillales; Halomonadaceae
Description: partial 16S ribosomal RNA
Rfam family: Bacterial small subunit ribosomal RNA
Source: RNAcentral
CCUACGGGUCGCAGCAGUGGGGAAUAUUGGACAAUGGGCGAAAGCCUGAUCCAGCCAUGCCGCGUGUGUGAAGAAGGCCUUCGGGUUGUAAAGCACUUUCAGUGGGGAAGAAAGCCUUGGGGCUAAUACCCUCGAGGAAGGACAUCACCCACAGAAGAAGCACCGGCUAACUCCGUGCCAGCAGCCGCGGUAAUACGGAGGGUGCGAGCGUUAAUCGGAAUUACUGGGCGUAAAGCGCGCGUAGGCGGUCUGAUAAGCCGGUUGUGAAAGCCCCGGGCUCAACCUGGGAACGGCAUCCGGAACUGUCAGGCUAGAGUGCAGGAGAGGAAGGUAGAAUUCCCGGUGUAGCGGUGAAAUGCGUAGAGAUCGGGAGGAAUACCAGUGGCGAAGGCGGCCUUCUGGACUGACACUGACGCUGAGGUGCGAAAGCGUGGGUAGCAAACAGGAUUAGAUACCCGUGUAGUC